Long non-coding RNA from Mauremys reevesii (Reeves's turtle), 2066 nucleotides. RefSeq lists it as uncharacterized. NCBI's taxonomy places the organism in Eukaryota, Metazoa, Chordata, Testudines, Geoemydidae. The transcript is spliced from 3 exons. The record is from RefSeq and is a predicted model, not a curated record.
GGCAGGAGCAGGGUGGUUACCCUGCUACAGGGACAAAAAAGGAGCAGUGCCCUUUGAGCUCAAAAAAGGGAAUCCUCUUGGCCUGAAAAUCAAGAGCACAGGGAUUUGCAUGAUUGAUGAAUUCAUCCUCAACCACCCUCAGAGAAAAACAAUGACAAUUUAACAGAGUUACAGUGAAGGCUUUGGAAGUUUGGCCCUAAUGUCUCCCAAUUUCAGUAGUUGGUGCUACAAAGAAGUUUUGUUUGGAGUUAUUAAAAAAAAAUCUCUGGGCAAGCUCCAGCUUUUUUGCUGCCCCAAACAGCGGCGAAGGAAAAAAAAAAGAUUGAGUUGCCAUCGAAUUGCCGCCGAAGACUGAAGCAGAGCGAUUGAGUGGCCGCUGAAGAAGAAGUGAAGGACUGAAGGACCCGCCACCGAAUUGCCACCGAAGACCCGGACGUGCUGCCCCAACAACAGACAGACUGCUGCCCCUUUCGAUUGGCUGCCGCAGGUACCUGCUUCCUUUGCUGGUGCCUGGAGCUGGCCCUGCUUAAAAUUAAGCACAUGCUUAAGUACUUUGGAGGAUCAGGGACCAGAGUGCUCAGCAGUACACAAUAUCAAGUUCUAAAAGAGUGGUAAUUUACCAUUCUUAUUAAUGAACUAUUUUAUGCUUGUUAAUGAAGUAAUAUGCUUUUUGUCGGAUGUGUGACUUGCUACUUUGAUUUCCUUUACCUAUUUCAUUUUUGAAGCAAAAGGAAGGGAGACAAAUUUUAUUGGACUUGCUUUUAUGUAAAACUGUUAGUGUUGGCUGCUUUAUAGCUGGUUCAUGUUGGAGGUGGGAUAAGGAUAUUUUUACACAUUUAACUAUAUACGUUUAGUUUUAUUGCAUAGGGAAUUUGGGUUAUGUAGAAAAAUGAUUAAUGUUUAUACAUUUAUUUUGUUUUUUGCAAUAAUGCUAGAUGCCCUAAAGCUGCAUAAAAGCCAGAUUAUUUUUACUGUGUUUUCGAAAUAUACAGUUUCAUUCUGACUGGCAGAAUGAAGAGAAGUUAUGACAAUACUAAAUCAAUUUUGGCCCAACAUUCUGAUAUAGCAGAAGUAAAAACUUUUAGAAAACCUUCAUCCAGUAGAAAUGUUUUGGGAGUAUUUUUUUUUAUUACAAGCAAAAUAUUUUAAAGGAAGAAAGAAAUUCUCGUACAAUAUUUGUGUCUCAAACAGCGCAGCAGCAUCCUGAUGCACAAGAACCUGAACAUGAAAUUGCCUACAUAUUGACUAGUUUAUUUCCAUGAUCCAAACUGCAUGCGAACUGCAAAUAUAAAUAAGUAAAGUUAUAAAUGGGUGAAAAUAACUAUGCAUUAUGUUCUUUACUAAUUUACUACACGCACACUCUGGAUGCAGUUAUUGAGAUAUGUGCCAUCUUAGCCUUUGAACUCAUUAGAUCUUACAAGCUAAGUAGGUUUGGUUGAAUUAAUACUCUGUUGGGGGGUCUCCAGAAAAAAACAUGGGGCUACAGAAAAAUGGGAUGCUGAGCUGGUAGCAUUUUUGCCUGUACACCACUCUCCCCACUUGGUAUUUGGGAGCACAAUGCUGUUGGAGACGCUGGAUUUCAGAAUGGAUAUAAACCCCAAAACCCACCAUUUGUCAUUUAAAAUCCCAUGAGAGGUCCAAGUUUUAGCUCUAGCUUCAUUGCUAAAUUCUACUGACCUAAGUUCUCCAUUUGCUUUAGCUGGAUAAGUUGCUGUUCUUUACUUUCUGUUCCUUCUCUGUUGCAUACAGCUGGUCAGGAAAUGUUUUCUUUAGCCCAUGGAAAAUGUUGACAAUUUUUAAAAAAAAAUUCCUUUCAUCAAAUUGUCCAUUGGAAAAAUCCUAUUUGUUCAAAAACCAAAACCAGAUUUAUUUAUACCAAAAAACGUGUGUGUGUAUGUAUUUCUGACAAAAAACUGAAAAUUCUCAAGGAAAGCAGACACUUUGUGAAAAUUCUCAUUUAAUUGAAAACCCUAUUUUUUUAAAAUCAAAAAAAGUUUCAGUGAAAACAUUUUGACCAGCCCUCCUGUUGCAUGGUAUUGCUGGAACUCAGGGGUUGCUGCAUCCCA